UCGGGGAUCGUCUAAUGGUAGGACGCCAGACUCUGACUCUGGCUGUCUAGGUUCGAAUCCUAGUCCCCGAA
This 71-nucleotide transfer RNA is filed under the name Deltaproteobacteria bacterium. RNAcentral's name for it is "tRNA-Gln". It matches the Rfam family "tRNA". Rfam says of the family: Transfer RNA (tRNA) molecules are approximately 80 nucleotides in length. Their secondary structure includes four short double-helical elements and three loops (D, anti-codon, and T loops). Further hydrogen bonds mediate the characteristic L-shaped molecular structure. tRNAs have two regions of fundamental functional importance: the anti-codon, which is responsible for specific mRNA codon recognition, and the 3' end, to which the tRNAs corresponding amino acid is attached (by aminoacyl-tRNA synthetases). tRNAs cope with the degeneracy of the genetic code in two manners: having more than one tRNA (with a specific anti-codon) for a particular amino acid; and 'wobble' base-pairing, i.e. permitting non-standard base-pairing at the 3rd anti-codon position. The record is from RNAcentral. Lineage: Bacteria; Pseudomonadati; Myxococcota; Myxococcia.